This 73-nucleotide transfer RNA is filed under the name Manihot esculenta (cassava). RNAcentral's name for it is "tRNA-Ala (TGC) (tRNA-Ala-TGC-17-1)". It matches the Rfam family "tRNA". Rfam says of the family: Transfer RNA (tRNA) molecules are approximately 80 nucleotides in length. Their secondary structure includes four short double-helical elements and three loops (D, anti-codon, and T loops). The record is from Rfam by way of RNAcentral. Lineage: Eukaryota; Viridiplantae; Streptophyta; Magnoliopsida; Malpighiales; Euphorbiaceae.
GGGGAUGUAGCUCAAACAGUAGAGCGCUCGCUUUGCAUGCGAGAGGUACGGGGUUCGAUACCCCGCAUCUCCA